Molecule: transfer RNA, 68 nt
Filed under: Chalceus macrolepidotus (pinktail chalceus)
Lineage: Eukaryota; Metazoa; Chordata; Actinopteri; Characiformes; Chalceidae
Description: tRNA-Ser
Source: RNAcentral
GAGAGAGGUUUCGAGACAAUAAGAACUGCUAAUUCUUACACCCAUGGUUAAAUUCCACGGCUCACUCG